UACGUAGGGGGCUAGCGUUGUCCGGAUUUAUUGGGCGUAAAGAGCGUGUAGGCGGCCAGGUAGGUCUGCUGUGAAAACUUGAGGCUCAACCUCGAGACGUCGGCGGAAACCAUCUGGCUAGAGUCCGGAAGAGGAGAGUGGAAUUCCCGGUGUAGCGGUGAAAUGCGCAGAUAUCGGGAGGAACACCAGUGGCGAAGGCGGCUUCCUGGCCUGCAACUGACGCUGAGACGCGAAAGCGUGGGGAGCGAACCGG
RNAcentral lists this ribosomal RNA (253 nucleotides) under uncultured bacterium. RNAcentral describes it as "partial 16S ribosomal RNA". It matches the Rfam family "Bacterial small subunit ribosomal RNA", at positions 524 to 776 of the family's 1533-position model. The record is from RNAcentral.